AUUGAACGCUGGCGGCAGGCCUAACACAUGCAAGUCGAGCGCGCGGCGGACGGGUGAGUAAUAUAUGGGGGCUGCCCGAUAGAGAGGGAUAACUCCUGGAAAAGGUAGCUAAUACCGCAUACUAUCGGACAACCCAAAAGGGGUUAGCUAGUAGGUGAGGUAAUGGCUCACCUAGGCGACGCUCCCUAGCUGGUCUGAGAGGAUGAUCAGCCACACUGGGACUGCGACACGGACCAGACUCCUACGGAGGCAGCAGUGGGGAAUAGUGCACAAUGGGCGCAAGCCUGAUGCAGCCAUGCCGCGUGUAUGAAGAAGGCCCUAGGGUUGUAAAGUACUUUCAGUCGGGAGGCGUUACCGACAGAAGAAGCACCGGCUAACUCCGUGCCAGCAGCCGCGGUAAUUC
This 403-nucleotide ribosomal RNA is filed under the name uncultured bacterium. Its description in RNAcentral is "partial 16S ribosomal RNA". It matches the Rfam family "Bacterial small subunit ribosomal RNA", at positions 30 to 526 of the family's 1533-position model. The record is from RNAcentral.